RNAcentral lists this transfer RNA (84 nucleotides) under Candidatus Woesearchaeota archaeon. Its description in RNAcentral is "tRNA-Ser". It matches the Rfam family "tRNA". Rfam says of the family: Transfer RNA (tRNA) molecules are approximately 80 nucleotides in length. Their secondary structure includes four short double-helical elements and three loops (D, anti-codon, and T loops). Lineage: Archaea; Nanobdellati; Candidatus Woesearchaeota. The record is from RNAcentral.
GCUGGGGUCGCAUAACCUGGUAGUGCGCUAGCCUGCUAAGCUAGUUUCCUUCGGGAUUUCCGAGUUCAAAUCUCGGCUCCAGCG